CUACGGGUCGCAGCAGUGGGGAAUCUUAGACAAUGGGGGAAACCCUGAUCUAGCCAUGCCGCGUGAGCGACGACGGCCCUAGGGUUGUAAAGCUCUUUCAGCAGGGAAGAUAAUGACGGUACCUGCAGAAGAAGUCCCGGCUAACUCCGUGCCAGCAGCCGCGGUAAUACGGAGGGGACUAGCGUUGUUCGGAAUUACUGGGCGUAAAGCGCGCGUAGGCGGAUUGUUAAGUCGGGGGUGAAAUCCCGGGGCUUAACCCCGGAACUGCCCUCGAUACUGGCAGUCUUGAGUUCGAGAGAGGUGAGUGGAAUUCCGAGUGUAGGGGUGAAAUUCGUAGAUAUUCGGAGGAACACCAGUGGCGAAGGCGGCUCACUGGCUCGAUACUGACGCUGAGGUGCGAAAGCGUGGGGAGCAAACAGGAUUAGAUACCCGAGUAGUC
This 439-nucleotide ribosomal RNA is filed under the name uncultured bacterium. Its description in RNAcentral is "partial 16S ribosomal RNA". It matches the Rfam family "Bacterial small subunit ribosomal RNA", at positions 339 to 795 of the family's 1533-position model. The record is from RNAcentral.